Molecule: long non-coding RNA, 412 nt
Organism: Thunnus maccoyii (southern bluefin tuna)
Lineage: Eukaryota; Metazoa; Chordata; Actinopteri; Scombriformes; Scombridae
Exons: 3
Source: RefSeq, a predicted model, not a curated record
ACCACAGCUUGUCUUCAGCUCCAUCCAGUCCUCUGACUCUGGAGAGUAUUACUGUACAGCUGAGAAUCAGCUUGGGAAGAGGACAUCUGAAUACAUUGUUAUUGAUGUGAAAUAUGCUCCAAAGCUUCCCUCUGUGUCAGUGAGUCCCUCUGGUGAAAUAGUUGAGGGCACUUCAGUGACUCUGACCUGUGGCAGUAAUGCUAAACCAGCAGCUACUUAUACCUGGUACAAAGAGGACCAAACAGUGCUUCAAGGGCAACGAGGAAGUUUUCAUUUCACCUCCAUCAGCUCUGAGGACAGAGGGAUCUACUACUGCAAGUCUGAGAAUCAAUAUGGACAGAUCAACUCUUCAUUUCUAUUCAUUGACGUCCAGUAUGGUCCAAAGCUUCCCUCUGUGUCAGUGAGUCCCUCU